Molecule: transfer RNA, 94 nt
Filed under: Actinoplanes sp. NBRC 103695
Lineage: Bacteria; Bacillati; Actinomycetota; Actinomycetes; Micromonosporales; Micromonosporaceae
Description: tRNA-Ser
Rfam family: tRNA
About the family: Transfer RNA (tRNA) molecules are approximately 80 nucleotides in length. Their secondary structure includes four short double-helical elements and three loops (D, anti-codon, and T loops).
Source: RNAcentral
GGAGACUUCGCCUAGUCUGGUCUAUGGCGCCGCACUGCUAAUGCGGUUGGGGUUUUAUAGCCCCUCCCGGGUUCGAAUCCCGGAGUCUCCGCCA